CGAUGGGGUAGAGGCGCAGGGUUUAUUAGUAGGCUGUUGUGAGGAUGACAACGUUGACCGCAGCUAAAAGGAAACAUUGCCGAAGCAAUCAGGAAAGGUCAAAAGCCGGAUUGUUGGGGUUACCUUGAAUAAGGGUAACACUGUCAUUAUGAGGGAAACCUUCAUAAUGAGGAGCUACAGAUCGU
This 185-nucleotide non-coding RNA is filed under the name Bacillus sp. (in: firmicutes). RNAcentral's name for it is "Bacillus sp. Lysine sequence". It matches the Rfam family "Lysine riboswitch aptamer". Rfam says of the family: Riboswitches are metabolite binding domains within certain messenger RNAs that serve as precision sensors for their corresponding targets. Allosteric rearrangement of mRNA structure is mediated by ligand binding, and this results in modulation of gene expression. Lineage: Bacteria; Bacillati; Bacillota; Bacilli; Caryophanales; Bacillaceae. RNAcentral also lists the same sequence under 1 other name. The record is from RNAcentral.